GACCAGAUGGCGUAGUGGUUAGUGACUCUGACUACUGAGCCGAAGGUCCCUACUAAGCCGAAGGUCCCGGGUUCGAUUCCCGGCUGGGGCA
Molecule: transfer RNA, 91 nt
Filed under: Plutella xylostella (diamondback moth)
Lineage: Eukaryota; Metazoa; Arthropoda; Insecta; Lepidoptera; Plutellidae
Description: tRNA-Ser
Source: RNAcentral